ACCUUCCUUUUCUCAGGGCUGUGCUCCUCUCCAGUGAGCGUGCAGUGAGGGCGAUGCCCCUAAUACCCACGCAACUCACCCACACCCACUAGAGCUUUGCCUUACGCUGGUGCAAUUUUGGGAAAA
This 126-nucleotide non-coding RNA is filed under the name Otolemur garnettii (small-eared galago). RNAcentral describes it as "U4atac minor spliceosomal RNA (ENSOGAG00000024922.1)". It matches the Rfam family "U4atac minor spliceosomal RNA". From Rfam's summary of the family: U4atac is an essential component of the minor U12-type spliceosome complex which is required for removal of the rarer class of eukaryotic introns (AT-AC, U12-type). These interacting stem loops have been shown to be required for in vivo splicing. U4atac also contains an 3' Sm protein binding site which has been shown to be essential for splicing activity. The record is from Rfam by way of RNAcentral. Lineage: Eukaryota; Metazoa; Chordata; Mammalia; Primates; Galagidae.